AGAGUGGAACUGGGUCAGAACGGAAUCCAAGAGAAGGUAUUCAGGAACACAUAGGGGCUGCAGAGACUGGCUGCGGUUGGAGGCAUCUUAGACACGACCCGGGGCUCAAGUAGGGCUAACCAGAGGUCCAUGUUGUGAACAAGACUUACUGGAGGUAGUACAGUUGAUCAGCUAUCUAGGUAGUUUCAGUGGAUGGGACUAAAUUAUUUAAGAUCGAAUGAAUGUAGCUUUAUUAAAAAGAAUAAUAAAGAAAGGAAUACCACAUGGCUAGAAUCAAAGCUGCCGGAAGGAAGAGAGUGAGUUCAGGUUAACAAAUUACAGUGGUCCCUAAGUCCUAUAAUGGGACUGGCCUCUGUUGUUCUCUUCUGUUUACCCAUGUCUGUCUGUCUAGUUAUCUUCCUUUUUUGAGACAGGUUUUCACUAUAAAUCCCAGACUAGCUUCAAACUUGCAAUCCUCCUGUCCUACCUCAGCCUCCUAGGUACUGGGAUGAAUGGCAUGUAUCCACCAUGCCAGGGUACUCACCCAUCUUAACACCCUACCAGGUACAAUCCCGAGAACUUGGCUACCUUGGAGCGGUAUGUGGAGACACAGGCCAAGGAGAAUGCCUAUGAUCUAGAAGCCAACCUGGCCGUCCUGAAACUGUACCAGUUCAACCCAGCCUUCUUCCAGACCACAGUCACUGCCCAGAU
RNAcentral lists this long non-coding RNA (690 nucleotides) under Rattus norvegicus (Norway rat). RNAcentral's name for it is "long non-coding RNA NONRATT002486". The record is from RNAcentral. Lineage: Eukaryota; Metazoa; Chordata; Mammalia; Rodentia; Muridae.